Molecule: ribosomal RNA, 622 nt
Filed under: uncultured bacterium
Lineage: Bacteria
Description: bacterial SSU rRNA
Rfam family: Bacterial small subunit ribosomal RNA
Source: RNAcentral
CAAAGGAGCAAUCCGCUGAAAGAUGGGCUCGCGUCCGAUUAGGUAGUUGGCGGGGCAACGGCCCACCAAGCCGACGAUCGGUAGCCGGACUGAGAGGUUGAACGGCCACAUUGGGACUGAGACACGGCCCAGACUCCUACGGGAGGCAGCAGUGAGGGAUAUUGGUCAAUGGGGGAAACCCUGAACCAGCAACGCCGCGUGAGGGAAGACGGUUUUCGGAUUGUAAACCUCUGUCCUCUGUGAAGAUGAUGACGGUAGCAGAGGAGGAAGCUCCGGCUAACUACGUGCCAGCAGCCGCGGUAAUACGUAGGGAGCAAGCGUUGUCCGGAUUUACUGGGUGUAAAGGGUGCGUAGGCGGCUUUGCAAGUCAGAAGUGAAAUCCAUGGGCUUAACCCAUGAACUGCUUUUGAAACUGCAGAGCUUGAGUGGAGUAGAGGUAGGCGGAAUUCCCGGUGUAGCGGUGAAAUGCGUAGAGAUCGGGAGGAACACCAGUGGCGAAGGCGGCCUGCUGGGCUCUAACUGACGCUGAGGCACGAAAGCGUGGGCAGCAAACAGGAUUAGAUACCCUGGUAGUCCACGCUGUAAACGAUGAUUACUAGGUGUGGGUGGACUGACCCCAUCC